UGGGGAAUCUUGCACAAUGGAGGAAACUCUGAUGCAGCGACGCCGCGUGAGCGAUGAAGCCCUUCGGGGUGUAAAGCUCUUUCGACGGGAACGAUAAUGACGGUACCCGAAGAAGAAGCUGCGGCUAACUACGUGCCAGCAGCCGCGGUAAUACGUAGGCAGCAAGCGUUGUUCGGAAUUACUGGGCGUAAAGAGUGUGUAGGCGGUGUUCUAAGUCUGUUGUGAAAUCUCCCGGCUUAACUGGGAGGGUGCGGCGGAGACUGGAAUGCUAGAGUAUGGGAGAGGUAAGCGGAAUUCCUGGUGUAGCGGUGAAAUGCGUAGAUAUCAGGAGGAACACCUGUGGUGUAGACAGCUUACUGGACCAUGACUGACGCUGAGACACGAAAGCGUGGGUAGCAAACAGGAUUAGAUACCCUGGUAGUCCACGCCCUAAACGAUGCAUACUUGGUGUGAGCCAUUCAUUUGGUUCGUGCCGGAGCUAACGCGUUAAG
This 491-nucleotide ribosomal RNA is filed under the name uncultured bacterium. RNAcentral describes it as "bacterial SSU rRNA". It matches the Rfam family "Bacterial small subunit ribosomal RNA", at positions 355 to 864 of the family's 1533-position model. The record is from RNAcentral.